GGAGGAGUACCCAAGUGGCCCAAGGGGACGGUUUGCUAAACCGUUAGGGUGCGCAAGCGCCGCGGGAGUUCGAAUCUCCCCUCCUCCG
RNAcentral lists this transfer RNA (88 nucleotides) under Candidatus Margulisiibacteriota bacterium. RNAcentral's name for it is "tRNA-Ser". It matches the Rfam family "tRNA". Rfam says of the family: Transfer RNA (tRNA) molecules are approximately 80 nucleotides in length. Their secondary structure includes four short double-helical elements and three loops (D, anti-codon, and T loops). Lineage: Bacteria; Bacillati; Candidatus Margulisiibacteriota. The record is from RNAcentral.